This 672-nucleotide long non-coding RNA is filed under the name Homo sapiens (human). Its description in RNAcentral is "HSALNT0142391". Lineage: Eukaryota; Metazoa; Chordata; Mammalia; Primates; Hominidae. The record is from RNAcentral.
CCCGGACCCAUGCAGCUUGGGCCCGCAUCAUCGCUUGUUCGGUAACAAAUGAUUCUGAUCCAUUCUGAGAUCUACAAAGGCUGUUACCCUGCAGGUUUUCUUCUGUUUUCAUAGCCAGCCAGAACAAUGUUCUACGCACAUUUUGUUCUCAGUAAAAGAGGGCCUCUGGCCAAAAUUUGGCUAGCGGCCCAUUGGGAUAAGAAGCUAACCAAAGCCCAUGUGUUCGAGUGUAAUUUAGAGAGCAGCGUGGAGAGUAUCAUCUCACCAAAGGUGUGGUUGACCUGCCUGAGGAAAAUCGGGAAGCAGCUUAUAAUGCCAUUACUUUACCUGAAGAAUUUCAUGACUUUGAUCAGCCACUGCCUGACUUAGAUGACAUCGAUGUGGCCCAGCAGUUCAGCUUGAAUCAGAGUAGAGUGGAAGAGAUAACCAUGAGAGAAGAAGUUGGGAACAUCAGUAUUUUACAAGAAAAUGAUUUUGGUGAUUUUGGAAUGGAUGAUCGUGAGAUAAUGAGAGAAGGCAGUGCUUUUGAGGAUGACGACAUGUUAGUAAGCACUACUACUUCUAACCUCCUAUUAGAGUCUGAACAGAGCACCAGCAAUCUGAAUGAGAAAAUUAACCAUUUAGAAUAUGAAGAUCAAUAUAAGGAUGAUAAUUUUGGAGAAGGAAAUGAUG